Molecule: ribosomal RNA, 503 nt
Filed under: uncultured bacterium
Lineage: Bacteria
Description: bacterial SSU rRNA
Rfam family: Bacterial small subunit ribosomal RNA
Source: RNAcentral
AGUGGCGCACGGGUGAGUAAACGUGACUAACCUACCCUUGAGUGGGGGAUAACUGAGGGAAACCUUAGCUAAUACCGCAUAAUACCCACGGGUCAAAGGAGCAAUUCGCUCGAGGAGGGGGUCGCGGCCGAUUAGUUAGUUGGCGGGGUAAUGGCCCACCAAGACGAUGAUCGGUAUCCGGCCUGAGAGGGCGCACGGACACACUGGAACUGAAACACGGUCCAGACUCCUACGGGAGGCAGCAGUGGGGAAUUUUGCGCAAUGGGGGAAACCCUGACGCAGCAACGCCGCGUGGAGGAUGAAGUCCUUCGGGACGUAAACUCCUUUCGAUCGGGACGAUUAUGACGGUACCGGAAGAAGAAGCCCCGGCUAACUUCGUGCCAGCAGCCGCGGUAAUACGAGGGGGGCGAGCGUUGUUCGGAAUUAUUGGGCGUAAAGGGUGCGUAGGCGGUUUGGUAAGUCUGAUGUGAAAUCUAUGGGCUCAACUCAUAGUCUGCAUCGGA